GAUGAACGCUGGCGGCGUGCCUAAUACAUGCAAGUCGAACGCUGAGGCUUGGUGCUUGCACCUAGCGGGUUAGUUGCGGACGGGUGAGUAACGCGUAGGUAACCUGCCUCUUAGCGGGGGAUAACUAUUGGAAACGAUAGCUAAUACCGCAUAAUAUUCUGCAUCGCAUGGUUUUGUCUUGAAAGGUGCUUUUGCUUCACUAAGUGGUGGACCUGCGUUGGCUUAGCUAGGUGGUGAGGUAACGGCUCAACCAAGGGACGAUACAUUGCCGGCCUGGGGGGGGGAUCGGGCAAAAUGGGAAUGAGAAAAGGGCCAGAACUCUAAGGGAGGCAGCAGGAGGGAAUCUUCGGGAAUGGGGGGAAAGCUGGACGAGCAACGCCGGGGGGGGGAAGAAGGGUUUCGGAUCGGAAAGCUCUGUUGUAAGGGAAGAAAGAGUGUGAGAGUGGAAAGUGCACAUCGUGACGGUAACUAACCAGAAAGGGACGGCUAACUACGUG
This 497-nucleotide ribosomal RNA is filed under the name uncultured bacterium. RNAcentral's name for it is "partial 16S ribosomal RNA". It matches the Rfam family "Bacterial small subunit ribosomal RNA", at positions 28 to 507 of the family's 1533-position model. The record is from RNAcentral.